RNAcentral lists this long non-coding RNA (239 nucleotides) under Elaeis guineensis (African oil palm). RNAcentral describes it as "long non-coding RNA (EGUI_LNC040810)". Lineage: Eukaryota; Viridiplantae; Streptophyta; Magnoliopsida; Arecales; Arecaceae. The record is from RNAcentral.
AUGUGUAGUAUAAGUAAAAAGAUGACUUAAUAAUUUAGAGUAAAUUACUUAUAGUCAAUUAAUUGUAUUGUGAAUAUCUUUUCUUACUUUAUUCUAGAGUAAAUUCGUACUCCCUCCAGACAGUCAUAAAUGCACACUAAAGUCCCUCAAUCGAAAAUGGAAAGAAUUCAAGACAACACUGAAGAUGGACUACAAGAGAGAGGGAUUGGCAGUAGACGAUGUCACUCAUAUUUGUCCUC